CAUCCAUCAAGCAAGCACAGAAACAAAGCAAAAGGAUCACAAGCAUUAUCACUAUUACAAACACCAAGCCUAUUGUUUCUGGAAAAGGUUCCCCACGACUUUAACACUAGUAAUACUAUUAUUUAAUUGCAGCCAACCAUUACAAGAGGUGGUGGUAGAUGCACUUUUGUAUAGAAGAAGCCAGGAAGAAUUGCAACAAUUAAGGUUACACCAAAGUGAUCAAAGACCCUGGUCUAUGAGAUAAUCACCAAGCCUUUCCACAAUCAUGUUGCACUGACCUGGAGUCAUUGGCUCGUCAUAGAUCCCAAUGAUCAAGGACAGGUUGGUCUUUUUAACAGUAACACCUCCGGGG
Molecule: long non-coding RNA, 352 nt
Filed under: Gossypium barbadense (sea-island cotton)
Lineage: Eukaryota; Viridiplantae; Streptophyta; Magnoliopsida; Malvales; Malvaceae
Description: long non-coding RNA (GBAR_LNC003575)
Source: RNAcentral